UACGGGGGGGGCAAGCGUUGUUCGGAAUUACUGGGCGUAAAGGGCUCGUAGGUGGCCAACUCAGUCAGACGUGAAAUCCCUCGGCUUAACCGGGGAACUGCGUCUGAUACUGGAUGGCUUGAGUUUGGGAGAGGGACGCGGAAUUCCAGGUGUAGCGGUGAAAUGCGUAGAUAUCUGGAGGAACACCGGUGGCGAAGGCGGCGUCCUGGACCAACACUGACACUGAGGAGCGAAAGCCAGGGGAGCAAACGGG
RNAcentral lists this ribosomal RNA (253 nucleotides) under uncultured bacterium. RNAcentral describes it as "partial 16S ribosomal RNA". It matches the Rfam family "Bacterial small subunit ribosomal RNA", at positions 524 to 776 of the family's 1533-position model. The record is from RNAcentral.